Glycine soja is the source of this 120-nucleotide non-coding RNA. The record is from Rfam. NCBI's taxonomy places the organism in Eukaryota, Viridiplantae, Streptophyta, Magnoliopsida, Fabales, Fabaceae.
UUUUUAUUGGAUAAUGAUGAUCACAUGUCAUGUUCUAAUUGAAUUUUAACUCCAUGAAAGAUAAAAUAUAUUAUUGUUGUCAUUAGUUGACCAGAACAUCACACUUGUCAAUCAUCAUGA